CCGUAAGGGAACGAUGAAAGAUGCAUUAAAAGUACUAAACAGCAAAGCUUACCCCUUUUACCUUUUGCAUAAUGAUUUAACUAGAAUAAACUUAGCAAAGAGAACUUAAGCUAAGCACCCCGAAACCAGACGAGCUACCUAUGAACAGUUACAAAAGAACCAACUCAUCUAUGUCGCAAAAUAGUGAGAAGAUUCGUAGGUAGAGGUGAAAAGCCCAACGAGCCUGGUGAUAGCUGGUUGUCCAGAAACAGAAUUUCAGUUCAAAUUUAAAUUUACCUAAAAACUACUCAAUUCUAAUGUAAAUUUAAAUUAUAGUCUAAAAAGGUACAGCUUUUUAGAUACAGGUUACAACCUUCAUUAGAGAGUAAGAACAAGAUAAACCCAUAGUUGGCUUAAAAGCAGCCAUCAAUUAAGAAAGCGUUCAAGCUCAACGACACAUCUAUCUUAAUCCCAACAAUCAACCCAAACUAAC
Molecule: ribosomal RNA, 472 nt
Filed under: Equus caballus (horse)
Lineage: Eukaryota; Metazoa; Chordata; Mammalia; Perissodactyla; Equidae
Description: partial 16S ribosomal RNA
Rfam family: Bacterial large subunit ribosomal RNA (bases 119-237)
Source: RNAcentral